AUUGAACGCUGGCGGCAGGCCUAACACAUGCAAGUCGGACGGUAGCACAGAGAGCUUGCUCUUGGGUGACGAGUGGCGGACGGGUGAGUAAUGUCUGGGGAUCUGCCCGAGAGAGGGGGAUAACCACUGGAAACGGUGGCUAAUACCGCAUAACGUCGCAAGACCAAAGAGGGGGACCUUCUGGCCUCUCACUAUCGGAUGAACCCAGAUGGGAUUAGCUAGUAGGCGGGGUAAUGGCCCACCUAGGCGACGAUCCCUAGCUGGUCUGAGAGGAUGACCAGCCACACUGGAACUGAGACACGGUCCAGACUCCUACGGGAGGCAGCAGUGGGGAAUAUUGCACAAUGGGCGCAAGCCUGAUGCAGCCAUGCCGCGUGUAUGAAGAAGGCCUUCGGGUUGUAAAGUACUUUCAGCGGGGAGGAAGGCGGUGAGGUUAAUAACCUUGCCGAUUGACGUUACCCGCAGAAGAAGCACCGGCUAACUCCGUGCCAGCCGCCGCGGUAA
This 504-nucleotide ribosomal RNA is filed under the name uncultured bacterium. Its description in RNAcentral is "partial 16S ribosomal RNA". It matches the Rfam family "Bacterial small subunit ribosomal RNA", at positions 29 to 523 of the family's 1533-position model. The record is from RNAcentral.